AUGGCGGGUGGCAGCCCGGCAAAAGAGGAGGUACAGACGCCUCGUGAGUUGGAGAUGCAGAUGGAAGAGAAGGUCGUGCAGCGGAAUCAGCCUCGUCGCAAGAGGAAUCGAGCUGACCUUGCUGAUGAGCUCGAGUUCUUCACGGACCUCCGCAAUACGCUGAUGAAGAAGAAGAAGAAGAAGCAGAAGAAGGACAAGGGCACGCCCGAGAAGGAGAGGUUCGAUUCUUCCAACUCCUACCGUAGUUUGGGCACGCAGAAGGGGCUUGGUUUUCUCGACAAUCGUAUCAAGGUCUUGCGCAAGCGGAUGGGGAUAACUGCCGGAACUGCCCACACCUCCCCCGCGAUCUCUGAUCUGUCGGACCCCUCGGGGAAGCAUAUGAAUGGUCUCAGUGAUCUGAGUUCGACAUUAGGAGCAGAUCCAAUUUCAGAUGAUGAUGAUGGUGCUGAUGGUUCUGGUGACGACGAGGAAGAGGAUAAGAUGGAGUGUGGCAAGCCAGCCAUGGAGGAGGAGGAGGUCCAGAGGAUCACCGGCUCCACACCAAUUUCGGAGAUUGAUGCUGAGGCAGUGAUGGGGGCAAAAGUGUCCAUAAACGGUGAUGGCCAUGAUCGAGCUGACACUGAUUGUGUUGACGACGAUGAGGUAGACAGAGGCAAAUCAGAGGCACAAUUAGCCAAGGAGAAGAGGGUGAUGUCUACCGAGAAGCUCAUGUUUGAGUCCUUCAGUCGUGACUGGGAGGCUGCGUUUAGCCGACGCAGCGGCCACUUCCUUAACAAGACGACAGUGAGUUCCAUGCAGUUUACACACUUGGCACCUGGGCGCAUCCCAUGGGGCGCUGGCAUAGAACCUGCCGUGCAGAUCUUCUCUGUCAAGCUUACAGAGGUGAAAGGUGGCUUCAAAUUUCCAUUGUCCGUGUAUGGUGUGGUCGCUGCCCGUGAUGGCGUGGACUACAACCGCAACCUUAUCUUCUUUUGCGAUAGGAGCAACUCCCAAGAACUUACUCAAAAUGAUCCUUAUCUGCGCCUGAUCGCCCCGUCUCGCGCUGUUUUGUUUGAGGACUAUGUCAGUUAUGAGGUCCAGCUUAUGGUGAAAGGCAGCGUCAAGUCUCGGGACAGGCCGUUGAUCACAGAUACAUACCGCCAAACCCGAUGCCGUAUUGGUGUAUCCACCAUCUGCUUUCAGAACUGCUUCUGCACGAUGGAGUUACGCUUGGAGCGAUUUCUAGGUUCGGUCCAGGCCACCAUCAUUGGCGUACGUGUCGUCAAAGACAAUGGGGCGUGGCCUUUUGGACAUGGUGUUCGGGUUGCUUGCUCCCCGGCAUCACGGGAACUUAUGGAGGACAGUGAUGGUGAAAUCAAGUAUGUUGCUCAGCCUUCGUCUGGGGAAAUCUUGCUGCUUGAUUCAAAAGAUGGAAGUAGACCUGCGCGUUCAGAUGGAUACCUUUAUCUGUCAAGGCAAGUUGUUUCUGUAGAACCAAGCGGACAGCUGGAAGUUGAAAUACAGGCCUAUGCACCACCUGGCGUUCUCCCUGCAAAAACGCAGGUCUGCUUCGAAGCCCAAGAAUGCAACAUAGAUCGUGGUCGGUGUUGCCUCCUCGGUGCCGAGGUGGAGAUCUCUGUUGCUUGGUCCCGUCUUGCUUUGGACGUGGAGAUGCUUGCGGGUGUUGACAGGGAUUUUCAAAGGGACGAACCAGAGGUUGCGUUCACACAAGUGGGGCUGAAUGGAGAGCCUGACACGGAACGAAUCUUUUAA
Molecule: ribosomal RNA, 1752 nt
Filed under: Triticum aestivum (bread wheat)
Lineage: Eukaryota; Viridiplantae; Streptophyta; Magnoliopsida; Poales; Poaceae
Description: partial small subunit ribosomal RNA
Source: RNAcentral